This 429-nucleotide ribosomal RNA is filed under the name uncultured Limnohabitans sp. RNAcentral's name for it is "bacterial SSU rRNA". It matches the Rfam family "Bacterial small subunit ribosomal RNA", at positions 355 to 776 of the family's 1533-position model. Lineage: Bacteria; Pseudomonadati; Pseudomonadota; Betaproteobacteria; Burkholderiales; Comamonadaceae. The record is from RNAcentral.
UGGGGAAUUUUGGACAAUGGACGCAAGUCUGAUCCAGCCAUUCCGCGUGCAGGAUGAAGGCCCUCGGGUUGUAAACUGCUUUUGUACGGAACGAAAAGGUUUCUCUUAAUACGAGGAGCUCAUGACGGUACCGUAAGAAUAAGCACCGGCUAACUACGUGCCAGCAGCCGCGGUAAUACGUAGGGUGCAAGCGUUAAUCGGAAUUACUGGGCGUAAAGCGUGCGCAGGCGGUUAUGUAAGACAGAGGUGAAAUCCCCGGGCUCAACCUGGGAACUGCCUUUGUGACUGCAUAGCUAGAGUACGGUAGAGGGGGAUGGAAUUCCGCGUGUAGCAGUGAAAUGCGUAGAUAUGCGGAGGAACACCGAUGGCGAAGGCAAUCCCCUGGACCUGUACUGACGCUCAUGCACGAAAGCGUGGGGAGCAAACAGG